CCCAAAACACCCGAGAAAUUAUACGGAGGCUCGCAGGUCCGGAAAAAAUUUCGGGGAGGGAGACGCGAGAGGGCGAAAUCCGACCGUGCCGCCAUAGACGGCUGACCUCUAUCCCCGAGCCCUAGUGGGUCCGUCGUCGAAUCCCCGCCGCCGCGUCCCCAGGAUCCAGGCCGCCGCCGUCCCCGUGAUCUAGGCCUCAGCGGCAGCCGCUUCCCCCGGAUCCAAGCCAUCGUAGCCUCCGCCGCUUCCCCCGGAUCCAAGACGCGACCGUCUCCAGGAUCCAAGAGCCGCCGCCGUCUCCGGGAUCCAAGAGCCACCGCCGUCCUUGACCUCAAGCCGACGCCAUUAUACUCGACUACGCCCUCCUCCGGCGUCGUGCUGCUAUCCUCGGUCAACUCCUCCUCGGGUCACCUCCAGUAAUUCCCACCUCCCUCUCUGGAUCCAACAUCAGUUCCAGCAGGUUUUGCUGCUGGUUGGGCUUCGGGUUCUGCUGCAGGUUUUGCUACAGGUUCUUCUGGAAGUUUUGCUACAGGUUCUUCUGGAAGUUUUGCUUCAGGAUCUACUAGAAGUUCUGCUGCAGCUGCUGCAAUGUUGAUUGCCAUGGCAGUCUAUGCAUUAAAAAAAAAGGGGGGGGGGGGCAGGUAUUACUGCUUCUUGGCUGAUAUGGCAUUCUAAAGUAGUUGGAACGAUGUUAGCUAUAUUUAAAUGAUUAAAUCCAAGAUGAUUGCAAACAUUGUUCAAUUUCAUUACCUGUCCCAAUGUUUCUUCUGUGUGGCGCUACGGUACUGUUUCAUUAUUCACAUCCUCAGUGGCCCUAGCUGCAGCUGCUGUGGCAUCAUGUGUAUCCUCAUUGGCCGUAGGUGCACAUUCUGUUUCAUUGUUGGUUGUAAGGGGAGUCUACAUGCAUGUUUGUAAAAGGGCAGGUAAGUGACCAAAAGUCAUGUAAUCAGAACGAACUGUACAUGCUCACUA
This is a long non-coding RNA of Brachypodium distachyon (stiff brome), 972 nucleotides long. RefSeq lists it as uncharacterized. The transcript is spliced from 2 exons. The record is from RefSeq and is a predicted model, not a curated record. NCBI's taxonomy places the organism in Eukaryota, Viridiplantae, Streptophyta, Magnoliopsida, Poales, Poaceae.